Molecule: microRNA precursor, 76 nt
Filed under: Myotis lucifugus (little brown bat)
Lineage: Eukaryota; Metazoa; Chordata; Mammalia; Chiroptera; Vespertilionidae
Description: mir-9229 microRNA precursor family
Rfam family: mir-9229 microRNA precursor family
Source: Rfam by way of RNAcentral
GAGACACCCUUCUGGGGCAAGACUUGCUUCAGUGGGGCUUUGCUGCUCACUGAGUCUGCCCCCUGAGUGUGUCCCU